CGCGGUAAUACGGAGGGUGCGAGCGUUGUUCGGAAUUAUUGGGCGUAAAGCGCACGUAGGCGGGUCUUUAAGUCUCGUUGUGAAAGCCCUGGGCUCAACCUGGGAAUUGCAUUGGAUACUGGCGGGCUAGAGUACGGUAGAGGGUGGCGGAAUUCCUGGUGUAGCAGUGAAAUGCGUAGAUAUCAGGAGGAACAUCCGUGGCGAAGGCGGCCACCUGGACCAGUACUGACACUGAGGCACGAAAGCGUGGGGAGCAAACAGG
RNAcentral lists this ribosomal RNA (262 nucleotides) under uncultured bacterium. RNAcentral describes it as "partial 16S ribosomal RNA". It matches the Rfam family "Bacterial small subunit ribosomal RNA", at positions 516 to 776 of the family's 1533-position model. The record is from RNAcentral.